GUAACAGAUUAUUUAUAGAGAAUUCUACUUUUAAGAAAGUCUCCUUAACAUUUAUUUUUCAACAAAAAUGGAUAUUUUAUUUUGUUUCAAAAUUGGGAUAGUGCGAAAUAUUAGGUUUGACUCUUAUAUAUGACGAGUUUAAUAUUAAAUUAGAGAAAUGGUAAGGAGACUUUCUUAAGUAAAGUGUGAUUCAUAUGAACUCUCUGCUAUGAUGUUAUCCCACUUCUAAGACCAUCUCCAAUCCUGAGGGAUAAAGUUUAAAAUUUUAAGCCAGAAAAUUUUAAGGUCACAACCCAAAAAUUACUUUUCUUCUCCAACCCUUAUGACUUAAAAUUUUAGCCU
Molecule: long non-coding RNA, 342 nt
Filed under: Malus domestica (apple)
Lineage: Eukaryota; Viridiplantae; Streptophyta; Magnoliopsida; Rosales; Rosaceae
Description: long non-coding RNA (MDOM_LNC005072)
Source: RNAcentral